GUCCGUAUAACGAGCGNAACCCCUCGUGGUUAGUUGCCAGCGAGUAAUGUCGGGAACUCUAGCCAGACUGCCGGUGCAAACCGCGAGGAAGUGGGGAUGACGUCAAAUCAUCACGGCCCUUACGUCCUGGGCCACACACGUGCUACAAUGGUAGGGACAGAGAGCAGCCACUUCGCGAGAAGGAGCGAAUCUACAAACCCUAUCACAGUUCGGAUCGCAGUCUGCAACUCGACUGCGUGAAGCUGGAAUCGCUAGUAAUCGCAUAUCAGCCAUGAUGCGGUGAAUACGUUCCCGGGCCUU
Molecule: ribosomal RNA, 300 nt
Filed under: uncultured bacterium
Lineage: Bacteria
Description: bacterial SSU rRNA
Rfam family: Bacterial small subunit ribosomal RNA
Source: RNAcentral